Molecule: small nucleolar RNA, 77 nt
Organism: Gigantopelta aegis
Lineage: Eukaryota; Metazoa; Mollusca; Gastropoda; Neomphalida; Peltospiridae
Product: small nucleolar RNA SNORD103/SNORD85
Exons: 1
Source: RefSeq, a predicted model, not a curated record
AUUGGCUAUGAUGAUUGAUUUGCCCUCUCUGAGAUCUGAUGAGAGAACCAUUCAAAUAUACGCAAAUCUGAGCCAGU